Molecule: ribosomal RNA, 784 nt
Filed under: Ocellularia papillata
Lineage: Eukaryota; Fungi; Ascomycota; Lecanoromycetes; Ostropales; Graphidaceae
Description: eukaryotic LSU rRNA
Rfam family: Eukaryotic large subunit ribosomal RNA
Source: RNAcentral
CAAGCCCGUGUGAAGCCCUUUCGACGAGUCGAGUUGUUUGGGAAUGCAGCUCCAAAUGGGUGGUAAAUUUCAUCUAAAGCUAAAUAUCUGUCAGAGACCGAUAGCGCACAAGUAGAGUGAUCGAAAGAUGAAAAGCACUUUGAAAAGAGAGUCAAACAGUACGUGAAAUUGUUGAAAGGGAAGCGCUUGCAACGAGACUCGUUCGCGGGUGUUCAGCCGUCCCCCGGGGCGGUGCACUCUCCCGCGUUUCGGGCCAGCAUCGGUUUCGGCGGCCGGACAAAGGCCCCGGGAACGUAGCUCUCUCCGGAGAGUGUUAUAGCCUGGGGUGCAAUGCGGCCAGCUGGGACCGAGGAUCGCGCAUUCGCUAGGAUGCUGGCGUAAUCGUUGUCAGCGACCCGUCUUGAAACACGGACCAAGGAGUCGACCAAUCUGGCAAGUUUUAGGGCGUAAACCCCUGAAGCGCAAUGAAAGUGAACGUAGGUGGGAGCCUUCGGGUGCACCAUCGACCGAUCCUGAUGUCUUCGGAUGGAUUUGAGUAUGAGCCCGGCUGGUCGGACCCGAAAGAUGGUGAACUAUGCGUGAAUAGGGUGAAAGCCAGAGGAAACUCUGGUGGAGGCUCGCAGCGGUUCUGACGUGCAAAUCGAUCGUCAAAUUUGCGCAUAGGGGCGAAAGACUAAUCGAACUAUCUAGUAGCUGGUUCCCGUCGAAGUUUCCCUCAGGAUAGCAGCAACGAAAACAGUCUCAUGAGGUAGAGCAAACGAUUAGAGGUCUUGGGGUUGUAUUC